GAUGAACGCUGGCGGCGUGCCUAAUACAUGCAAGUCGAGCGAACAGACGAGGAGCUUGCUCCUCUUACGUUAGCGGCGGACGGGUGAGUAACACGUGGAUAACCUACCUAUAAGACUUGGAUAACUUCGGGAAACCGGAGCUAAUACCGGAUAAUAUAUUGAACCGCAUGGUUCAAUAGUUAAAGACGGUUUUGCUGUCACUUAUAGAUGGUUCCGCGCCGCAUUAGCUAGUUGGUAAGGUAACGGCUUACCAAGGCGACGAUGCGUAGCCGACCUGAGAGGGGGAUCGGCCACAAUGGAAGUGAGACACGGUACAGACGACUACGGGAGGAAGCAGAAGGGAAUCUUCCGAAAUGGGCGAAAGCAGGACGGAGCAAAGCCGCGUGAGUGAGGAAGGUCUUAGGAUCGUAAAACUCUGUUAUGAGGGAAGAAAAAAUGUGUAAGUAAAUAUGCACGUAUUGACGGUAACUAAUCAGAAAGCCACGGCUAACUACGUG
This 497-nucleotide ribosomal RNA is filed under the name uncultured bacterium. RNAcentral describes it as "partial 16S ribosomal RNA". It matches the Rfam family "Bacterial small subunit ribosomal RNA", at positions 28 to 507 of the family's 1533-position model. The record is from RNAcentral.